AAGCAAUUAUACGGCGAAACUGCGAAUGGCUCAUUAUAUAAGUUAUCGUUUAUUUGAUAGCACCUUACUACUUGGAUAACCGUGGUAAUUCUAGAGCUAAUACAUGCUAAAAAUCCCGACUUCGGAAGGGAUGUAUUUAUUAGAUUAAAAACCAAUGCCCUCUGGGCUCUCUGGUGAUUCAUGAUAACUUCUCGAAUCGCAUGGCCUUGCGCCGGCGAUGGUUCAUUCAAAUUUCUUCCCUAUCAACUUUCGAUGUUUGGGUAGUGGCCAAACAUGGUUGCAACGGGUAACGGAGGGUUAGGGCUCGACCCCGGAGAAGGAGCCUGAGAAACGGCUACUACAUCCAAGGAAGGCAGCAGGCGCGCAAAUUACCCAAUCCCGACACGGGGAGGUAGUGACAAUAAAUACUGAUACAGGGCUCUUUUGGGUCUUGUAAUUGGAAUGAGUACAAUUUAAAUCCCUUAACGAGGAACAAUUGGAGGGCAAGUCUGGUGCCAGCAGCCGCGGUAAUUCCAGCUCCAAUAGCGUAUAUUAAAGUUGUUGUGGUUAAAAAGCUCGUAGUUGAACCUUGGGCCUGGCUGGCCGGUCCGCCUCACCGCGUGCACUGGUCCGGCCGGGCCUUUCCCUCUGUGGAACCCCAUGCCCUUCACUGGGUGUGGCGGGGAAACAGGACUUUUACUUUGAAAAAAUUAGAGUGCUCCAGGCAGGCCUAUGCUCGAAUACAUUAGCAUGGAAUAAUGAAAUAGGACGUGCGGUUCUAUUUUGUUGGUUUCUAGGACCGCCGUAAUGAUUAAUAGGGACAGUCGGGGGCAUCAGUAUUCAAUUGUCAGAGGUGAAAUUCUUGGAUUUAUUGAAGACUAACUACUGCGAAAGCAUUUGCCAAGGAUGUUUUCAUUAAUCAGGAACGAAAGUUAGGGGAUCGAAGACGAUCAGAUACCGUCGUAGUCUUAACCAUAAACUAUGCCGACUAGGGAUCGGACGAUGUUAUUUUUUGACUCGUUCGGCACCUUACGAGAAAUCAAAGU
RNAcentral lists this ribosomal RNA (1025 nucleotides) under Purpureocillium lilacinum. RNAcentral's name for it is "SSU rRNA". It matches the Rfam family "Eukaryotic small subunit ribosomal RNA", at positions 67 to 1104 of the family's 1831-position model. The record is from RNAcentral. Lineage: Eukaryota; Fungi; Ascomycota; Sordariomycetes; Hypocreales; Ophiocordycipitaceae.